Long non-coding RNA from Ictalurus punctatus (channel catfish), 1764 nucleotides. Lineage: Eukaryota; Metazoa; Chordata; Actinopteri; Siluriformes; Ictaluridae. The record is from Ensembl.
CACACACACUCACACACACACACUCACUCACUCACACACACACAAUUCUAAGUUUCAGAAGUAUCUCAAACUCCAUAACCGCUAUUUUAAUGCAGACAAAAGCUCACUGAAGGUGACCCGUGUGUGUGUGUGUGUGUGUGUGUGUACAGCUGGUCAGUGCUGUCGGCUGAUGCGGAUGAAGGACGGCGCGUGUCAGCGGCACGCAGUCCCUCGUGAGGGGAAUACAGUAGCCGCGCGCGCGCGCCGAUGAGCCGGUGUAGCAGUAGCCGCGUGCAGGAACAGCAGCGGAGCGCGCGAGGACUUGAGGCGCGACCCCAAAUCGUUGGCCCGGGGCCAGCACGGCGGGGGUUCACGCGCUGACCGAACACCGGGGGCUCGCGCUCACGCUGCUACCCUUCACCUCGCGCGCGGUCGUUUGUUGUUCGGUCGCUGCUCCUUCUGCGCGCGCUCACUCACUUCCUCACGCGUUUACAUGCGCGAGCUUUCGUUUCUCCUGCCACAAUCUGAGGGACAGACACUCUCUCUUUCUUUCUCUCUGUUCUCUGAGCGAUGGUGUCCUUGAGCGAGUGUUGGCAUUGGCAUGUUGGCGAUUGGCAUGUUUCCCCUCGUCUUUGGCACGGUGUCAGUGUGUCGGGAGUUUCAGUGCCACUGGAGGAUGAUGGAGUAGUUCCUCCUCACACUGCUCAGGUCAGCAGCUCCGCCGGGUUCCACGCCCCGUCUUUAGAGGAACCGUGGAGCUCUGGCUAACGCUGAAGCGGACAGAUGGAUGGAGACGUGCGGAAAGGUCAUGUUCAGGAGUCACCACUGUACAGAAACCCUGCAGCUGCUCCUCCUCCAUGGCUCCUCUCCUGCUCUCAGCAGGACGACAUGGCACCCGACGUGGGGAAUGACCGGCCGUGAUGGAGACGCGAGGGCGAGGGAAGGUCUCUCUCUCUCUCUCUUUGUCUCUCUCUCUGUGUAUAUCUCUCGCUCUCUCCCCGGCCGCGACGCAGAUGUUUUCUCCUGCGGUUGGAGCCAAAUUUCUUCAGCAACCUUCAGCUGCUUGGAGGUCAGGCCUUCAAUAAGACGAGGGACACUUUCAGGAUGCGAGCCCUUCAACUUUCAUACGACGACGUAUUAAUUACGGCGGGCAGACGCCGAGGCCGAGGGGUUGUACAGGAACAUCGUGCCCCGCUGCUCCCAGUCUCACAUUAGCCAAGGAGAAAGCUGUCUCACACUUCAGCACGUUCACAUUGAUCAUUAUUUCCGGAGGGAAGCUCAGAGGAUUAGCGUAGUGCUAACGUUAGAGCAGAAGCUUAGUGGCCUUUCCUCAGAUUUGGCAUGAGGACUGACGGAGACGAAAGCGAGCUGAAAGCAGGGGGCUUACGGCCAGUAAGAGAACUUGAAAGUGGAGUUUGCUCUGUGAAGAAGGGAUGAAGAUUCCGCUCUCACAGCACCGAGGGAGCGCCGGAAACAGAACGUGGCCGGGAAUUGAGACGUUAGCGCAGGGAAAAGGGACCAGACGAUCAAAGGAGCUGCUGUGGUUCACUUUCGGGUUUGAGCUCCUCGCUGGAAGAAGCAAAGGGGACUCAUUAGGGCGGAUCACUGCAAGUGGAAAAGCCAAAUCAGCACAUUAGACUCUGGGAAAGUGUGUGUGUGUGUGUGUGUGUGUGUGUGUGUGUGUGUGUGUGAGAGAGAGAGAGAGAGAGAGAGAGAGAGAGAGAGUCACUGUGUGGCCACUUUUAGCCUUUUUAUUCUAUUUGGGUCAAAAUCAUCCAUUUAAAA